This 13255-nucleotide long non-coding RNA is filed under the name Olea europaea subsp. europaea. The record is from RNAcentral. Lineage: Eukaryota; Viridiplantae; Streptophyta; Magnoliopsida; Lamiales; Oleaceae.
GUACCCUCCUCAUCUCUCACUUCCUUAGUCUCGAGACUCUUGACAAUUCCACCCCGAGGGCACACUCAGAAAACGAAACUUGACACCAGAAGCCCGUCACAAACCCUAAAAAAAUGUCGGGCGGCUUUUUCCGGGUAGGAAUCUCCCUUUAAUUUGUUUGGCUAUCCGCUAUUUAAAGUUUUUUGUCCGAAUCGAAUUGCUUUUUUGUGAAUUAAAAUUUGUGCGGGUUUCGUGAAUUUAGAUCUUCCUUCUUUUAGAACCUGAUUAUUAUAAUUUUAAUUUCAAUUAGGGCACAUCGGCUGAUCAGGAUACAAGGUUCUCGAACAAGCAAGCAAAACUGCUCAAAUCUCAGAAAUUCGCUCCUGAAUUGGAACACACGGUUCGUCUUUGCAAUUUUUCCAUUUAUGUAUGCUUAUUAUUUAUGAUUAUGAUUGUAUUAUUAUUUAUUAUUUUUUUGUUUAUUUUCUGUAUGAAAAUGUACUUAGGUGGACAUGUUGAAAAGUUAAGAUGGAUAUCAUGAGUUGAAGGGGUUGCCACACUGAUUUUUAUUUUUACUUUUUAAUUUUAUAUUCGGUUUCUUCUGAAUUUUUGAAAUUUUUUCCUUUUUUGUUGGGGUGGGGAGUGGGUGGGUGGGACAUAUAUUGAAUAAUGUUGAAUUUUUUUAUGAAAGUCAAAUGUGUUUCUAGGUGGACAUGGCUAAAGUGAAGAUGGAUGUUAUGAAACCGUGGAUUGCAAAGCGCGUGACUGAGCUUAUUGGAUUUGAAGAUGAAGUUCUUAUUAAUUUCAUUUAUGGUCUACUUGAGGGAAAGGUAUCUCAAAACACUGACUUGUAUUGUUUACUUGUGUGAUUGUCAGUUAGCUGAUUUUAAUUGUUUGAUGAUUGAUUUAUUAUAAAUGUGAGUUAUUGAGCUUUGAGAAUGCAGAACUAUUUUUGACUUCUUAAUAUUAAAAAUUUAUAUCUACUCUAAACAUUUGACGGUGGUUAUGUUUUAAUAGGCAAGUGAGGCCAUUAAACUGUUAAGUUAAUUUUAGAGAAUGCUUCUGCUUUGGAUAACUGUUGGUGUGGAUAUGAUUGGGUGCAGGAAGUUAAUGGGAAGGCGGUUCAAAUUCAACUUACUGGUUUCAUGGAGAGAAACACUGGGAAGUUUAUGAAAGAGCUUUGGUCACUACUUCUGAGUGCACAGAAAAAUGUGAGUGGUGUUCCACAGCAGUUUCUGGAUGCUAAAGAGGAGGAAACUAAGAACAAGAAGGUCUACUCACGCUUCCUUAAGUUUUUGGAUCUUCUAUAUCUGUGGUGUGUCUUUGUUUAAUAAUAUGUCCAUGGGGUGUUACAGGCAGAGACUGAUCGUAUCGCAAAUGAAAUUCAAAGGAAGAAAGAGAAGGAAAAGCAGGAUCUUGAGCAAGAGAUAGAUAAAAUGGUAAUUGAAAACCCUUUUUUAUGCAAAAGUUAGAUUAUAUAGAUCUCAAAUUUUGUUCCUUACUUCCUUUCAUGUUUCAUUUUGUUCAGCUUGCUUCUGUUUCUGCAAUUUUUUUGGUCAUGUCCUUUACUUCAAACUGCUGUAGGAUGGUGAUGGUGACAUCUCAAGAUACAAGAAUGCUGGCUCAGACCUAAAUUCAAAACACGAUUCGAGGUCUUCCAGCCCCCGAUUGGCAGAUGGGAAAGAGCAUCGUGAGAGAAAUGGCCUGAGAGGACGAAGCAGGUAGGAAUUAACUGGAUUUACUAAUUACUCAAAAAUUUUAAGGUACUCAAUUGGCAGGGGUUUGAUUUUAUUUUUUGGAAUGUCUUAAACUCUAAACGGAACAAAACUUAGACCACAUCUUGAUUUGCAUGUACUCCUAAUUUUCUACUGCUUAAUUUUUUGCUCUUAGGCUUUGUGUAAAUGAUAGGAAAAUCUUAUACAGGAUAAUAUUUCCCAAGAUAAAUGAGUGGACAAAAUGGAUGACUCAAGGAUAUGGAUGGAAGUGAGGUCUUGUAAACUAUCUUGGAGCUCAUAGCAAUUUGAACGAGAAUGUUAUGAAGUUGGACAGUUUUGGGUUAAUUUUUUAUGCCAGAAAUGGUUUUCUACGUAAAUAUUCUUAGAACUAGAAAGAGUAAAAAACAUGGAGAUUACUAGAGGAGGAUGAGAGAGUUUUGCUCAUUCGAGGGUAGGUCAAAAUCAUGCAUUUAAUUUCAAACUCUGUGCAUCAAGUCUACUGACAUGAAGAAAUUUUCCCACUUCAAUAAGGAUUUGGACAAAUUGGAGUAAUUUAAAAGUCUGGAGACUAUGAUCGCUUGAAAUUGGGACUAACCUAGAGUCUUGGAUUCUUAUGAAUUGCAACUUCUAAAUAUUAUUUUAAUUUUCUAGAUCAAUUAGGACUUAUGCAAUGUAAAAAGGGAUAAAUUCCAUUCGCUGUAACUAUGCUUUCGCUUUAUGUCAAUUAGGUGACUUUAGGAGUGGCGUGUGGUUUGGCUCAGUUCGAUCUUAAAGGGAAUCUAACCAAACUAAUUACCAAUGUGAAUUUUACAAAUGGAAUUAUUGGUUCCUUAUGUAUCGAACUGGAAAUGGACAAAUUGUUUCCUAUUUCUUUCGGUACUUUAUACUUAAAAUAAUGAAAAUAGAUUAUGAAAUCAAUUGUCAUUCCUAUAAUCUAACAAACAAAAAAUCAAUGAAUAGCAAGUCACUAAUAUAUUCCACAUGCUUUUUUAUUAGAGGUACUAGCUAGAAUAUUUAAAUUAUACAUAUUGUCCAAUGAUUAAAAUAACACCAAGUAUGUAAGUUUAAAAAAUAAAAAUUAAAAAAAUGCCAUUAAUCAAGAAUUACCACUAAUUUUGCUUUCCAGUUUCAAAUUCUCACUAAAUUUGCUUUAAAAUUGCCAAUUCACAAGUGAACAAUGUAAUAUGGAGUCAAAUUUGAAUAAUAAGUUAACUAAAUAUCAAAUCCCAAAUUUUAGUAGAAUUAACAAUCUACCAUAAUAAAAUUUAACUUAAGAACUCUUCAAUGUCUUCAACUUACAAAAUUUUAGUAGAAUUAACAAUCAACUGUAAUAAAAUUAAACUUAAGAAGUCUUCAAUGUCUUCAACUUAGCCCUUGUUUGACACCCAUUAAAAUUCAAAUACAUUUUUUACUCUUUUUUUCAACCAUACAUUUUUCAAUAAAAUAAUAUUACACGUAAAUUAAAAAAAAAAAAAAAUCUUUUUUAAUCACACAUCCUCCCAAAAAUACUAUUUUAUCAUACAUUUUACCAAAUUUUCUCUUUAUAAUGUGUCAAACAAGGGCUUAUCUGCAUCAAUCCUUUUAAAGAGUGAGUCCACCCCUUGCAUUGAUUUUAAAAUAUAAAAAUUAAAUGUUAAUAUAUGAACGAAAAAUUACACAUAAGAAAUUACAAAUAAAAUAUAAUUACGGUCGUACUUUCAACUAGAUCAUCAAUGAAUUUUCACAAUCAUUGAAUAAUCCUUUGUGUGAUUAUGUUUCUUAACAAAUUCUACAUGAUAUUGCAAAAAAAAAAAAAAAAAUUUUUUUUUAUAACUGUCAAUAUUAAAAGAAGCAUAAAUAAAAAGUAAAAACAAGUUUACAAUCUAAUAAACAAAAAUAAAAUAAGAUAUUCUAAUUAUCGAUUUCCAAUUUAAUAAAUUGUUCAUGAUAUUCCAUCUCUUCAAUGCCCACUCCAUAUAGUUGGUCUCCCAAGUGUAGAACAUAGCCAAUUUUGUAUAUAAAUUAAAGCCUCAAUUAUUUUGGGUGUAUUAACUCCUAAAUGAAUCAAAAACUCGCCCUACGGCACUAAAUGUCGACUCCAAAGCAACAAGAGAGAGAGGUUUGCAAGUAGAUCCCUUGCAAUCUUAAACAAAAUUGCAUAUCUUGGACAAUUUAACUUAAAAGUUGAAUUACUAGUUUUCAGUGGGGUCCAUUAGUUAUCUCUGAAUCUCAUCUUUUAACAAAUUAGCAUUGCUACUUCUUCCUUUUUUUUUUUUAAAAAAAAAAAAAUACCCAAAUCAAAAUUGUUGGACUCAUCCCAUGAUCAUCUGCAUAAGCCUCAACCAAAUUGUCAUUAAAGUCAUGAAUACCACCAUCUCCAUCAUUGGAUGCACUAUGCCAUCCUUUAUACCUAUUUUACAACUCGCGAUAAAAUCUUGAUUUCAUUUUUUCGAUUCAACCAAGCUAUUAUCAUAAAAGUGACCAAUACAAUAAACUACUUCCAACUUGUACCGAGGAUUCAAUCACAAUAGCUCUAAUAUCUGUAUUUUGUUCAUUUUAUCAACAAUCCCCCAAUACUUGUCGAAUUCACUCUUCAUGUUUUUUGCCAUAUCACUAAAUAAAAGAUCUUGCUAUGCUAAAUUUCUUCAAAAUUUGUUGAAUAUUACGAACUUCUUAAAAGUACAAAUUCGAGGUCACAUUCAAAGAUUCACUAAAAUUUUAAGUGAUUUUGUGAAAGGUUUCUAGAUACUUAAUAAUUUCCUCAUAUUUUUCCCAAUUGUCUCUUGUAAUUACCUCCUAUUUCCUUCCCAUUCUCACGCUCAUCAAAAUAUAUGCAAUAAAACCCAUAUUCCUUUGCCAUCCGAUCUAAUAGUUUCUCAAACUUAAGUGCACCAUCCAACAUCAAGUAUGUUGCAUUCCACCGAGUAAGCUAAUUUUUGCACUAAUUUCUUCUUUUAUCACAAAUCUUGAAUUUUGCUAAUCUUGAAGGGGAUGAUCCAAAAUAUUUCACGGCAUUCGUAUACUUGCUAUUGCCACGUUAAACUCUUUCAACUCAUCUUUUACCAUUACAUUCAAAAUAUGUGCACACCUUACAUGCGUAAGGGACCCACAUAAUGCCAUCCUAUCAACUUUCCCAUUCUUUAAUAUAUUUUUCGUAUUCAAUAGCCCUAUCAUUUGCACUUGUAUUAACAGUAGUAAUUAUGGAUACAUGCUCUAUUUUCUAGUCAAGCCAACAUUUUUCAGCAAGUUUUACUAUUGUUUUUCCUUUAUGGUUACGAACUAUCGAAACUCAAUAUCCUCUUAUUUAACACCCAGUUUUUGUCAAUAAAAUGGGACGUGAUAACCAUGUAAUUAAUAUAUUUAUUUAUGUCUUGCAAUUUGUGGUAAGACACAACUCUUGCUUAUUAGCAAUAAGCUUACCUUUCAAUAAUUCUCUCUUCACUAUAAAGUUUUAGCACGUCCCUAUUAACUAUUCUACGAGAUGGAAUAUCUGACUUAGGGCAUUCAUAUCCUAUAUAUUUUCUAAACCCAACACCAUCAAUAAAGCUAACGGCAAUUCAUUGACAAUAAUCAUUUUCACCAUUGCCUUCCUACAUGCUUCUUUGUUAAACACCAUAGCACCAAUAUCGGCAAUGCCACCGUUACCACCAUCAUUGUCAUUUAAUCAUCUCGUUAGUACCUUGUCUUUAAUCUAUUUGGUACUCUUGUAUGCUUUGCAAGUGUUUCCACAAGUUAGAAGUUUUAGUUUCAUUGGAAUCAUGAGCAUAAGAUUCCCACAUAGCUACAUUCUGCCCUUUUUCCCUUGUAUCUUAGUAAAAUGUUACCAUACUUUCGAUCUCACAUUCAGGCUUCUUUUAUUUUCAACAAUCUCUGCGUUCAUCUACGUGACAAAUAGUAGAAAAUACGUAAAACAAAAAACUGAUUCUAUACUAUGAAAUCAAUGGUUUUCAUGGCAACAAUCUUCAAACUUCUUAAGUUGUUCAUCCUAAUAGAAUUCAUUUCUUCCAAAGUAUACUUCAUUCUUCAUUUUGUAAUUAUAAAGAUUCAACUGAAAAAGAAUUCUAUGUUGGGAAUUGGAAAAUGGAAAUCAACUUCUAUUGUAAGUCCUUUGUAAAGAAAUAGUUGCAAAUUUUUUCCAAAUUGUAAAGACUCUUUAUCCAAAUUUUAAAGACUCUUUAGCAUGUCAUUAAUCAAAUCAAGCUAUAUCUUCGUACUCGUAAUCUACUGACUGCAAUGGGUUGUGAAAAACAUUCAGAUUGCAAUCUCUUUAGUCUUUAACGCUUAAUAAUCUAACUUAUACUGUAUAUACUUAAAGUUUACACAAUAUAAAUAUUGUCUUCUCAGCAUUAAUAUAGAUUUCAUUAAUUUAAAUAGCAUAAUGUUUCAGCAUCAACUGAUAAUGAAUUUUUGCAUACAAGAUAAAAAUAAAGUCAUAAAUUAUCACGUUGUUCAAUAAAUCCUAUAAUUGAAUUCAGUGAAUGAAGACCAAACAAGGCAACAACCAAACAAUCCAACUCCAAGCUCAAAUUUAGAUUGCUCUAGAUUUACUAAACAUUAUAUAUUUGAUAUAGGAGCAUACAAAUUGAUAAAGAACAAUAAGAAGAAAGGGGAUCAAAAGGAAGAAAUGAGGGCAAGAGAAAACUUUUAUUCAUAUAAUUAUGGUCUGUUUAUAAACAUUGUCCUAAGUCUCUUUAUAUAGAGGACUUCGAAAUUAAAUAAACUUCCUAGUAUCAAUUUGGUAUCGGAGCAAUGAGAAGAAACGGGAUCAAAUAGAAGAAUUGAGGGCAAGAGAGAUAGUUUUAUUCAUAUAAUUCAGGUCUGUUUGUAAACAUUCCCCUAAAUCUGUUUAUAUAGAGAAAGACUUUGAAAUUAAAUAAAUUUCAUAUCUAAACAAACUUGAAAUAAAAGAUAACAAUUGUCAUAAUCAAACUACUAUAAUAUAGAUAAACUGGAAUUCUAUUAAUUCUUAGUUUUUCGUCUUGAAUAGACUUUUAGUUGUUUCCUUGUUGUGUCAAUAUUGCUCCAGUCCAGAAUUCGUCGAUUAAAGUUUAAUUCUUAAAAAAAUCAUACAACAGUUUAUAUAUAAAAAAAUACAUCUAGGUAUUUUAAUUCAAACUCGAUUAUCUUCAAUAAUGUCAAGGUGAUCUCGAGAAGAUCUUGAUUCUUGACAUCAUAUCAAUUUUGAUAAAAUGAGAGAUUUGAGUUCUUGCGAAAGAUCAAAUAGAAGAUAUAUUUUUCCCUUUUGGGGUUUGCACUAAAAUUAUGAAUUUGUAAAGUAUUUAUAGAAUUAUUUAGAACGUGGAUUUUGAUAUUUUGAAUCUUGAUUACGGAGUAGGUUUUCCUUACAAAGGAUAGAGUCAGAAUUGUAGAAGUGUAUCAAAAGGUGGUGUGAGAUAAUUCUUGACCUAGGACUUUAUAGCCUGUUUGGUAUGGAUUAUUUUAAUCUAAGUCAACGUCAAACAAUCAAUAUUAACCACAUCUUUCAUGGUUUCCAUAACUUUUCAACCAUAAAUUUCAAAAACUUCUAUCACGAUCUACUGAAAAAUAUAAUUUUAAUCCCUACCAAACACCCUUUUAAUGUCAAAAUAUGAGGACCUGGUAUAUCUUGGUGCAAUGCACCUAUGUAAUAUAAAUUUUGGGAAAAUCAUCUGUUCUCAUGGCUGCACUGAAAACCAGAUCGAGCCACUUAGUAAAGGAAUAGGAGCCUGGAAAGAUUGUCCACCUCUAGGAAAUUGUACUUCAAUUUUGUUCAAUUGGGUAACUAAAAUUUUUCAUUUCAAUUGGAUAAUUUGAUUUUAAUCAAAUAACUAGGUUUUGAUUUUAUUUAAAUUAAAGUAACUUCGUCCAAUUCCACCAACAAAAAUUGAUGACGUGGCUAUUUAUAAAUUUUGGUCAUCAUACAUAACCGUCAGAUGCUAAUGGGAAAUAUGUACAACUUAAGUGAAAUCAAUGACGACCGUCGUUUUUUAAUUGUCACGUCAUUGAUAUUGUCUGUCCAAGUGAUAGAAUCAUAGAAAUCCAUUUGAAAUCAAAUUAAAGUGUAGUUAUACAAUUAAACAAACAUCAGUAUCUAGGUAUUGACUCCAGAUGAAAAUGUAGUUACCUCAAAUGGAAUUUAUCCAUGUAAAAACCUAGUAAGAAUGAAAUAUGCCUUUGGAGAAUCUAUAUUUCUAAUAUAUAUCAAUUAUCUAGGAGUAACAAAACAUCAUUCCUCUUUUGUUUGCUAAUACAAGGUGAUUGAUGUUUGUUUAGGUACAGCCUUGUAGGUUUCAAAAACUCGACUUUUCCACAUAGUAAUUGCUACUGGAGUAUACAUAUGUGCAAUUGAGUUUUCUUAUCCAAAAUAUUGUUUACUUGCUAGAUAUAUAUGUCGAAAAGUGUGCUAAAUCACCAUUGCUGCAAACAAUCAAGUUCUUUUGGGGCUUUUUGGAGGCUUUCACCUCCAUAAGUAUUUGUUUUUUCCCAAGAAGUUUCGAUUCCAUUGUUAAGUGGUCUCAAGUGAUGUUUUGUCACAUAUAUUAGUUUCGAGUUUUUUGUAUCUUUUCUUUUACCCAUCUUUUUCUUUGUUACUUGAUGAAGAUUGUUGAUUAUUAGCAUUAUAUGAGUUAACAAUCAAUUAAUAAGAUAAUGGGUAUCAUGAGAUUUUAGGUGUUAUAUGUUAAGCCACUUUAUGUAAAAGCUUAAGUUAUUCAUAUUUUGUCUUUGCCUAUCAUGCACACAUUUUGAUAAAUGCAUUUUUUUGUGGGCAGCAUUGCCGCCUCUCGUAUAACGUAGAACCAUUUUUGUCUGAAAGCUUAAGCCAUUAUAAGGGGAUACAUUUAUUUAUUCAAGUUUUAUUUUCAAAGUUAUGGAAUAUAUGUAGUGUCUUGAAAUUAAAAAUGUCAAUUUCCUUGUAAUUCCUCAUGGUUUGAACUCCGUGCAACGGAUAAGCGUAUUAAAGAGCCAUACAAAAGUGCAAUUUUUUUUUCUUCGUUUACUUUGGCUGUAAUGACCCGGACCUCUCGUCCAAGCCGUUAGUUUACGUACUGUCCGCUUUGGGUGGCCACUUAUCCCUCACGACUUUUCUUCGCGUCCCCCAGGAUUCGAACUCUUGACCUCUACAUAAAAGAGAUUUAAGUUGAAUCAUUAUAUUAAUUGGAAAAAAUGCGCGCGUUUUUUUGUAACGACCCGGACCUCUUGCCCAAGCCAUUAGCUUACGUCCUGUCUACUUUGGGUGGGCCUUGCGCCCACUUAUCCCUCACGGCUUUUCUUCGCGUCCCCCAGGAUUCGAACUCUUGAUCUCUACAUAAAAGAGACUUAAGUUGAAUGCUCUAAAACAGACAGGACGUAAGCUAACGGCUUGGGCGAGAGGUCCGAGUCGUUACAUUGACCCAUCUUAUGAAUGAACCAUUGCAAUAUGCAUGUCACACACUUGACACUGUACUCUUAUUAGAGCUUGGAGUGUCAUGCUGAGUAUUAUUGAUAUUAGCUUGCUCCUGCUCUUAUACUGUUAUGAUUUUUAUGACCAGCAUUUUUAUUUUCAUUUAUUUAUUUGUUUAUUUAAUUUUUUGUUUCAUUUAUGUAUUGCUUUCUAUCUUUCCAGUUCAGUUAGAUUAAUGCUGGUUACACUUGUAAGUAACCUCAGACUGGGCUGAGAUGUUUUUUGGUUGACAAAUAUUAUUUGUAGAACAUCUUUAAUAUGCUGACUGGAUGAUUUAGAUUAAUAUUUGUUUCAUUUGCACAGGGUUCCACAAUCUCCUGAUUCAGCUGACCGUUCCCCAUCUCCAAGGUAAGUAUUUUGAUCAUGAUAACCUCUGGUGGUCUCUUCUACUUAAUUUUUUCUUGCUCCUUAAGAAUAAGCUUUUGGUUCCCUUUAGCAGCAGGAGGCCUUCCAGGCCAAUUAGCAAAUCCUUUUCCAAUUCUAAAAGUUAUUCUGAGUGGAUUUCCAUUUGAUGUCAGAGUGUGCUCAUAAUUUUGAUAGAUUGUGAUUUGUUAUCUGGUUUUCAUUUUAGUGAAAGACGGAGGUCAAGAAGUAUAUCUGGAUCACCUCCACCGAGAGGACGGUCCAUUUCCUCUGAGAGGCCACGUCGAUCUUCACCAAGACUGUCUGGGACACCGAGGAGGAGGCAUUCGCCUCGUCUCUCUCCUCCACCAAGGUAUAGGUCAACCCGCACUAGGAGAAGAUCUAUAUCGCAUUCAAGGCACAGGUCUCCUUCUCCCACACGAUAUAGGGUUCGUUCCCCUCUGCGUCGCAGGUCACGAUCUCCUUUGCGACGUAGAUCAAGAUCUCCCGUGUGGCGUAGGUCAAGGACACCAAUACGAAGAUCACCAGUGCAAUACAGGUCCCGUUCACCCGUGCGACGCAGAUCACCACCUGUGCGACGCAGAUCACCACCUGUGAGACGUAGAUCACCGUCUCCUAUCCCACGACGAUCACUGUCUCCUAUGCGACGACGAUCACCUUCCCCCCCUCGUCGUAGGUUGCCAUCCUUUCGUCGUAAGUCACCAUCCCCUCAUCGUAGGUCACCAUCUCCUGUAAGAAGGCAGCACCGACGAUCACCUUCAACUCCACGGCGCCAGUCUAUAUCCCCAGUUCGGCACAGGUUACCAGUGCCCAGUCGAAGAAGAUCUAUAACACCUGCCAAACGAAGGUCUCCUUCAGUGCAAGAAUCUAUUUCCCCCUCUCCCAGUUCCCUUUCACCAGUCAGGAGGCGAUCACUGAAAAGCCAGAAAUCACCUCUACGAUCUCCCAGAGAAGCAAUCAGGUACUUUAGAGCAUGUUAGCUGCUUUCGAUCUUUAAGAAUUUUUUGAUAUUUGUAUUUUAUUUUGCUUUCAAGCGUAUGGUUUGCAUGUGUUUUUGUUACUGUUACAGUUUAGAUGCUUUAGUGCACAUCUGCAGCAAUGAUAAUGGCGGAACAGACAUUUUUUUUUUUUUAAAAUUAGGAUGCCUAGGAAUACGACAAAAACAAAUCAAUUGAGAUGACACACCCCUUUUAAGCAACUGUGAUAUGUCACGACAGUGUAAUGGUUCAUAAAAAAGAGAACAGGACGUUAUCUACAUAAAAGAACACUGAAGAGACAACACAAUGAAAUUAUGUGCUUAAGACUGUUGGCAUCCUUCCACAUAACACCUAAGCACAGCCCAUAUGAACCAUAACUCAACCAAUCUACUCCAGUUAUUAAAAAAAACCUCGUGUCUUCUUUAUAGAAUAAAAGGAACAUGCUUGAAAUACAGACCUCUAAACGAGGAGGUGCCUCAAAUGGCAAGAUCAUUAAUUUGUUUAUCCAAUAUUCUACCUUUUUGCUGGCACUUCAUUCUUAACUGUAGAUAAAUAGUUCAUUGAAUUGCAACAGAACUUUCCUAUAGCUUUAGUCGGAGGGCAGAAAUGUGAGUUAAUUUUUUUUCUGUAAGGUCCAUUUCCUAGUUUGAAAAGAAUUCAUAUUUUUGUUUUUAUUGUUUAAGGGACAGGGAAACAUGCAAUAUAUCAUGAUGAUGUGGCAGAUAAAUGAAAAUAUUUGAGUGUUGGUAACAGCCACACAAGAAAAAAGUGUGCUCUUUGUUUAAUGAGGUUGAUCAUGAUAUUUCCAGUAUUGCCACUCUCCUUUUUCUUCCCUCUGGUUUUAUCUCUGCUUUUUCCUUUGAUCUCUUGGAAGAACUGGGCUUUCAAAUUAGAGAAACUGGGGUAGAGAGCUGAGAUCUCUAUUAUAUAUCUGGUGAAUUUUGCACGAUUUUGUGUUAUGAGAUGACCAUCUGUACUAUUUCGACUUAUUGCUCUAUUUCCAUUCAAACUGGAUUCCCAUCUGCAUGCACUUUCCUAGUUUGCAGUAGCUGUAAAAAUUUUGAUGCAUAAAAUUCCUGCUGCUGGGGAAUAUGCAUAGAAAGCAGGCUUACUUGAUCUUUGAUCUCUCUAAACUCUAAUCCAAACUCUGAACUGUAGGCCUCUUGUUUCUUUGAGAUCACCGCAAAGGGACAUGCUGGAUCGAAAUGACCAACGUGGAAGAGUGCUGGAUCCGUCUCCUCUGCACAAGUCUCCAUCUGCUUCCGAAGUGUCUGGGGAAGGAAAUCAUAUUGAACGGCAGAGGUUCAAACCUCUAUCUAUAUCUACCUUUUGGUUUUUUUAUCACAUUUUCUUGAGGUGUAACAUUGUAAGUCACAUUUUAUUUGGAUAGGUCUAGUAGUCCUCAUCGUAGUCCUUAUCAAAGAAGGGAAAGGAUCAUUCUUCCUGAGAGUCCAAACCCUUUACCGAAAGGAAUGGGAUCCAAACCUCAUCCUGAUAGUUCUGGGACAAGUGCUGAUGACAGGUAAACCUUGUAUGCUAGGUUUUGUUUGAAAAGUUCAUUGUUCUCGAACGUGGUAUUUUUUACUCUAAAUUUCUGAGUUGUGCAUGGUUUUAUUUUUUAUUUAGAGAGAUUGGAAAGCUUAAACAUAGAUCUUUAGAGAAAAAUUCUCCAUCACAUGAUCGGCAUAAAGAUUCUUUUGGCUUUGAUGAUCAUGUGAAGUCAAGAAAUCCUCGUCAACUGCCAGACAGGUUUGCUGUUGCUGUGGUACAUUCUGUCUCAGUAGUCUAUAGUUUGUGUAUAACUGAUCUAAUUUUUGUAUUUUUUGUUUUUAUUUGAAUAAACCAGUGAAAAGUUAGCUGAAAGAGUGGAUCACAUAAUAAAUCCCGAGAAACAAGAAUCAUUAGUGAUUCGUAAAAGCGCCAUAUUAAGAGAGGAAGGAAAGGGAUCAUAUGUUGACAAUGAUUACAGAGCUGUUGAUAAGAAUACAUCUGUGUAUGACGAUACCAAGGGCAGUGGUCGACAUUCAGAACUUGAAGUCUUGCCUAAUUUGUCUGGGGCAGACAAGCUGAAUGCUCGAAGUCGUUCAGUGGGAUUCAACUCUGAGGAAACUGACAGGCAUAAAACUAAAAUUAAAGAAAAGGGAAAGCACAAGAGGUCAGAGAGACAAGAGGUGGAAUCAGAUGACUAUUCUAGCUAUGAUUCUUAUGAGAAGAGGAAGGAGGCUAAGAGGAGGAAAAAAGAGGAGAAGAAAUUGAAAAAGGAGGAGAGGCAUCGACGGCGGGAGGAACGGCGCCGCAGAAAAAAGGAAAAGCAUGCAGAGAAGCUGAAAUUGAAGUCGCUUGACGCUGGUAGUCCAUCUUUAGAUAUUGAGAUUGAUCAUGAUCGUCAUGCUUCUUAUGAUGACGGUUAUAGAAGGCGGGAAACGCAUACAAGUGACAUGGAGGAAACAGAAUCUGAGCAGAAAAAGCUUGAGAUAGAGUUGAGGGAAAAGGCUCUUGAGUCGCUUCGAGCAAAGAAGGGCGCUCAGAAUUAAAUUUUUUUGCUGCUCUAGAAUAUUUCACUUUUAUUUUCUGUUAUAUGAUCCUGUUAUGAGUUCCUGUUUCUGUCCUAGACCUAUUCUGUUUCGGAUGAAUGUAUUCUUGGUGGCUAUUUAAUGUAAUGUGUCUUUACUGCUGGCAGCUGAAUGGAUAAAUGAGGAUUUCCUGAGCUAGUGUCUUGAGUGCAACUUUAUGCUGACUUUCCUGCUAAAUUUGCUGGUAAUAUUUGUCUUCCCUUCACUGGGAAUAUGUUUAUGUUAUAUUUACACGACACAAAAGUGUGC